AGCACCGAAGCCUGUGGUCGUUUGGCCUCUAGGCAAUGUGGUGUUCAGGUCAGCUCGCGGAGGUACUGCUCCACCCUAAGUCCUAUAAUGAGUAAGGUUACUCGGACGUGGCCCACAGAGGGUGAAAGGCCCGUGGGGGUGGAGACUCAGAUUGGCCAGUAUCUCCCUGAGUGGACCUUGGAGUCGGGUUGUUUGUGAAUGCAGCCCAAAGUGGGUGGUAAACUCCAUCCAAGGCUAAAUACUAGCACGAGUCCGAUAGCGAACAAGUACCGUGAGGGAAAGUUGAAAAGUACUUUGAAGAGAGAGUAAACAGUGCGUGAAACCGCUCAGAGGUAAACGGGUGGAGUUGAACUGCAAGCUCUGAGAAUUCAACUGGUGAGUAUGGCAUGAGCUGGGUAUAUUGGUUGACGGUCCGGGUCUGCUUAGCUGCAGGUCCUCGCCUUUUGGUGGGGAUGCGCGAAUCACUUACCAAGUGUUGUGCGCCCGGACUGUAUCGGACCUGCUUGCCAGUGCACUUUCUCAGAGUAAUCACCACGACCGGCGUUGCCGUCUGGCUGUUGUAGUUAAACCGGCCUCGUAGAGUCCUUGUGGCUUUGCUUGGUCGGGAUGGCAGGUAGCCCGUUGUGCACUUUUGUGUGCUUCGGGUGUUAUCGCUGACUGCAUCAGUUCUGUGCGGUACGUCGGAGACGGCGGCUUGUUGUGUGUGCGUGCGUACUUGUUAUGCUGGCGGGGCCGAGUCUGGUUGCCGUGUUGAUUGCAAAAGCAAUCCCGGUGAUGGCUUGGUGUCGUUCGGUGUGCAGUUGCGUGCGUGUCACUAUGCAGGGCCAAUAGUCUGUGGUGUAGUGGUAGACUAUCCACCUGACCCGUCUUGAAACACGGACCAAGGAGAGUAACAUGUGCGCGAGUCAUUGGGCGUUACGAAACCCAAAGGCGCAGUGAAAGUAAAGGUUCGGCUUGUCCGGACUGAGGUGAGAUCCUGCCGUUUCUCACGCGCGGUACUACCAAGCAUCGAGCGGCAGGCGCAUCACCGGCCCGUCCCAUGGCGUAGAGGCGACCUUGUG
Molecule: ribosomal RNA, 1061 nt
Filed under: Neopsilotrema itascae
Lineage: Eukaryota; Metazoa; Platyhelminthes; Trematoda; Plagiorchiida; Psilostomidae
Description: partial large subunit ribosomal RNA
Rfam family: Eukaryotic large subunit ribosomal RNA
Source: RNAcentral